RNAcentral lists this transfer RNA (78 nucleotides) under Vulcanisaeta sp. EB80. Its description in RNAcentral is "tRNA-Arg". It matches the Rfam family "tRNA". Rfam says of the family: Transfer RNA (tRNA) molecules are approximately 80 nucleotides in length. Their secondary structure includes four short double-helical elements and three loops (D, anti-codon, and T loops). Lineage: Archaea; Thermoproteati; Thermoproteota; Thermoprotei; Thermoproteales; Thermoproteaceae. The record is from RNAcentral. RNAcentral also lists the same sequence under 3 other names.
GGCCCCGUAGCUCAGCAUGGACAGAGCGGCGGCCUUCUAAGCCGUAGGUCGUGGGUUCAAAUCCCACCGGGGCCGCCA